RNAcentral lists this ribosomal RNA (447 nucleotides) under uncultured bacterium. RNAcentral describes it as "bacterial SSU rRNA". It matches the Rfam family "Bacterial small subunit ribosomal RNA", at positions 355 to 825 of the family's 1533-position model. The record is from RNAcentral.
UGGGGAAUAUUGGACAAUGGGCGAAAGCCUGAUCCAGCCAUGCCGCGUGAGUGAUGAAGGCCUUAGGGUUGUAAAACUCUUUCGCCGGGGAAGAUAAUGACGGUACCCGGAGAAGAAGCUCCGGCUAACUUCGUGCCAGCAGCCGCGGUAAUACGAAGGGGGCUAGCGUUGUUCGGAUUUACUGGGCGUAAAGCGCGUGUAGGCGGAUUUGUAAGUUGGGGGUGAAAUCCCGAGGCUCAACCUCGGAACUGCCUCCAAAACUACAAGUCUGGACCUAAGUAGAGGCAAGUGGAAUUGCGAGUGUAGAGGUGAAAUUCGUAGAUAUUCGCAGGAACACCAGUGGCGAAGGCGACUUGCUGGACUUAUGGUGACGCUGAGACGCGAAAGCGUGGGGAGCAAACAGGAUUAGAUACCCAGGUAGUCCCUGAGCGGGCUGGCAAGGCGCAU